Molecule: ribosomal RNA, 908 nt
Filed under: uncultured Bacteroidota bacterium
Lineage: Bacteria; Pseudomonadati; Bacteroidota
Description: bacterial SSU rRNA
Rfam family: Bacterial small subunit ribosomal RNA
Source: RNAcentral
CAUGGCUCAGGAUGAACGCUAGCUACAGGCUUAACACAUGCAAGUCGAUGGGAAACGAUAGAGAAAGCUUGCUUUUUCUAGGCGUCGACCGGCGCACGGGUGAGUAACGCGUAUCCAACCUGCCCAUCACUUGGGGAUAACCUUGCGAAAGUAAGACUAAUACCCAAUGAUAUCUCAAGAAGACAUCUGAAUGAGAUUAAAGAUUUAUCGGUGAUGGAUGGGGAUGCGUCUGAUUAGCUUGUUGGCGGGGUAACGGCCCACCAAGGCGACGAUCAGUAGGGGUUCUGAGAGGAAGGUCCCCCACAUUGGAACUGAGACACGGUCCAAACUCCUACGGGAGGCAGCAGUGAGGAAUAUUGGUCAAUGGGCGAGAGCCUGAACCAGCCAAGUAGCGUGCAGGAAGACGGCCCUAUGGGUUGUAAACUGCUUUUAUAAGGGAAUAAAGUGAGCCUCGUGAGGCUUUUUGCAUGUACCUUAUGAAUAAGGACCGGCUAAUUCCGUGCCAGCAGCCGCGGUAAUACGGAAGGUCCGGGCGUUAUCCGGAUUUAUUGGGUUUAAAGGGAGCGUAGGCCGGAGAUUAAGCGUGUUGUGAAAUGUAGAUGCUCAACAUCUGCACUGCAGCGCGAACUGGUUUCCUUGAGUACGCACAAAGUGGGCGGAAUUCGUGGUGUAGCGGUGAAAUGCUUAGAUAUCACGAAGAACUCCGAUUGCGAAGGCAGCUCACUGGAGCGCAACUGACGCUGAAGCUCGAAAGUGCGGGUAUCGAACAGGAUUAGAUACCCUGGUAGUCCGCACGGUAAACGAUGGAUGCCCGCUGUUGGUCUGAAUAGGUCAGCGGCCAAGCGAAAGCAUUAAGCAUCCCACCUGGGGAGUACGCCGGCAACGGUGCAACUCAAAGGAAUUGACGG